UUUUUAAAGCUGGUUAGAAGUUAUCUGCAAAUUCAUUCAAAAUUAAGAAAUGGUAAAUAAUUUAUUGGUUGAUAUGAUUUAUAAUUCUUUCUGCGAUUUCAUCAAAAUGUUACCUUUCUCGUCUCUUGACUAGGUUUUGACAGAAUCUCAAGAUUUUGUUUUUAUGAUUUUUUUUCCAUUUUCUCAAAGAUUAAGCUUAAGCAUUGCAAGCUUGCUUUUAUAUGUAACUCAUUAUCAGGAAUCCAAUCCCAACUGGGAA
RNAcentral lists this unclassified non-coding RNA (259 nucleotides) under Hevea brasiliensis (rubber tree). Lineage: Eukaryota; Viridiplantae; Streptophyta; Magnoliopsida; Malpighiales; Euphorbiaceae. The record is from RNAcentral.